GGCGAGCCUGAUGCAGCGACGCCGCGUGAGGGAUGACGGCCUUCGGGUUGUAAACCUCUUUCAGUAGGGAAGAAGCCCCUUUUGGGGUGACGGUACUUGCAGAAGAAGCGCCGGCUAACUACGUGCCAGCAGCCGCGGUAAUACGUAGGGCGCAAGCGUUAUCCGGAAUUAUUGGGCGUAAAGAGCUCGUAGGCGGUUUGUCGCGUCUGCCGUGAAAGUCCGAGGCUCAACCUCGGAUCUGCGGUGGGUACGGGCAGACUAGAGUGAUGUAGGGGAGACUGGAAUUCCUGGUGUAGCGGUGAAAUGCGCAGAUAUCACGAGGAACACCGAUGGCGAAGGCAGGUCUCUGGGCAUUUACUGACGCUGAGGAGCGAAAGCAUGGGGAGCGAACAGGAUUANAUACCCUGGUAGUCCAUGCCGUAAACGUUGGGCACUAGGUGUGGCGGACAUUCCACGUUUUCGGC
This 464-nucleotide ribosomal RNA is filed under the name Arthrobacter sp. SDT6. RNAcentral's name for it is "bacterial SSU rRNA". It matches the Rfam family "Bacterial small subunit ribosomal RNA", at positions 374 to 844 of the family's 1533-position model. Lineage: Bacteria; Bacillati; Actinomycetota; Actinomycetes; Micrococcales; Micrococcaceae. The record is from RNAcentral.